RNAcentral lists this ribosomal RNA (497 nucleotides) under uncultured bacterium. RNAcentral's name for it is "partial 16S ribosomal RNA". It matches the Rfam family "Bacterial small subunit ribosomal RNA", at positions 28 to 507 of the family's 1533-position model. The record is from RNAcentral.
GAUGAACGCUGGCGGCGUGCCUAAUACAUGCAAGUCGAGCGAACAGACGAGGAGCUUGCUCCUCUGACGUUAGCGGCGGACGGGUGAGUAACACGUGGAUAACCUACCUAUAAGACUGGGAUAACUUCGGGAAACCGGAGCUAAUACCGGAUAAUAUAUUGAACCGCAUGGUUCAAUAGUGAAAGACGGUUUUGCUGUCACUUAUAGAUGGAUCCGCGCCGCAUUAGCUAGUUGGUAAGGUAACGGCUUACCAAGGCAACGAUGCGUAGCCGACCUGAGAGGGUGAUCGGCCACACUGGGACUGAGACACGGUCCAGACUCCUACGGGAGGCAGCAGUAGGGAAUCUUCCGCAAUGGGCGAAAGCCUGACGGAGCAACGCCGCGUGAGUGAUGAAGGCCUUCGGAUCGUAAAACUCUGUUAUUAGGGAAGAACAAAUGUGUAAGUAACUAUGCACGUCUUGACGGUACCUAAUCAGAAAGCCACGGCCAACUACGUG